This 470-nucleotide ribosomal RNA is filed under the name uncultured bacterium. RNAcentral's name for it is "bacterial SSU rRNA". It matches the Rfam family "Bacterial small subunit ribosomal RNA", at positions 338 to 825 of the family's 1533-position model. The record is from RNAcentral.
CCUACGGGAGGCAGCAGUGGGGAAUCUCGCGCAAUGGGCGAAAGCCUGACGCAGCCAUGCCGCGUGAAUGAUGAAGGUCUUAGGAUUGUAAAAUUCUUUCACCGGGGACGAUAAUGACGGUACCCGGAGAAGAAGCCCCGGCUAACUUCGUGCCAGCAGCCGCGGUAAUACGAAGGGGGCUAGCGUUGCUCGGAAUUACUGGGCGUAAAGGGAGCGUAGGCGGACUGUUUAGUCAGAGGUGAAANCCCAGGGCUCAACCUNGGAAUUGCCUUUGAUACUGGCAGUCUUGAGUACGGAAGAGGUAUGUGGAACUCCGAGUGUAGAGGUGAAAUUCGUAGAUAUUCGGAAGAACACCAGUGGCGAAGGCGACAUACUGGUCCGUUACUGACGCUGAGGCUCGAAAGCGUGGGGAGCAAACAGGAUUAGAUACCCUGGUAGUCCACGCCGUAAACGAUGAGUGCUAGUUGUCG